Molecule: ribosomal RNA, 252 nt
Filed under: uncultured bacterium
Lineage: Bacteria
Description: partial 16S ribosomal RNA
Rfam family: Bacterial small subunit ribosomal RNA
Source: RNAcentral
GACUUAGGUGGCAAGCGUUAUUCGGAAUUACUAGGCGUCAAGCGAGUGUAGGCGGACGAUUAAGUUCGAUGUUAAAUCUCCAGGCUUAACUUGGAGUCGCAUCGAAUACUGGUCGCCUCGAGUGGGGUAGGGGGCAGCGGAAUUCCCGGUGUAGCGGUGAAAUGCGUAGAUAGCGGGAGGAACACCUAGGGCGAAAGCAGCUGCCUGGGCCUUUACUGACGCUAAGACUCGAAAGCUGGGGGAGCAAACAGG